This 66-nucleotide transfer RNA is filed under the name Dollfusiella sp. MZUSP 7992. Its description in RNAcentral is "tRNA-Ser". The record is from RNAcentral. Lineage: Eukaryota; Metazoa; Platyhelminthes; Cestoda; Trypanorhyncha; Eutetrarhynchidae.
GUUAGUAACACCUCAGGUGCUUUUGAUUUGAAAUCAAAAAAUUUGUUUUUAGUAACAAUACUAACU